RNAcentral lists this ribosomal RNA (452 nucleotides) under Sadayoshia tenuirostris. RNAcentral's name for it is "partial 16S ribosomal RNA". It matches the Rfam family "Bacterial large subunit ribosomal RNA", at positions 1943 to 2600 of the family's 2925-position model. Lineage: Eukaryota; Metazoa; Arthropoda; Malacostraca; Decapoda; Munididae. The record is from RNAcentral.
UAACUGUGCAAAGGUAGCAUAAUCAGUAGUUUUUUAAUUGAAGGCUUGUAUGAAGGGUUGGACAAAGAAUAAUCUGUUUUUAUUUUUUUCUUUGAACUUGACUUUUAAGUGAAAAGGCUUAAAUGACUUUAGGGGACGAUAAGACCCUAUAAAUCUUUAUAUUAAAUUUUUUUUUAGUGAUUUAAUUUAGUAAAUAAAAUAAAAAAAUAAAAAUAUUUUGUUGGGGCGACUAAAAUAUAAAAUUUAACUGUUUUAAAAUUUAAACAAAAUUAUUUGGAAGUGUAAUAGAUCCUUUGUGUAGAUUAAAAAAUUAAGUUACUUUAGGGAUAACAGCGUUAUUUUUCUUGAGAGUUCAUAUCGAAAGAAAAGUUUGCGACCUCGAUGUUGAAUUAAAAUUUCUUUGUGGUGUAGAAGCUACAAAAGAGAGUCUGUUCGACUUUUAAAUUUUUACG